UGCAGUCGAGCGGAACGAUGUAGCUUGCUACAGGCGUCGAGCGGCGGACGGGUGAGUAACGCGUAGGAACCUACCUAGUAGUUUGGGAUAGCCCAGAGAAAUUUGGAUUAAUACCGAAUACGCCCCACGGGGGAAAGCGGAGGAUCUUCGGACUUCGCGCUAUUAGAUGGGCCUGCGUAAGAUUAGCUUGUUGGUGAGGUAAUGGCUCACCAAGGCAACGAUCUUUAGCUGGUUUGAGAGGAUGAUCAGCCACACUGGGACUGAGACACGGCCCAGACUCCUACGGGAGGCAGCAGUGGGGAAUAUUGCACAAUGGGCGAAAGCCUGAUGCAGCCAUACCGCGUGUGUGAAGAAGGCUCUAGGGUUGUAAAGCACUUUCAGUAGGGAGGAAAGGUUGUAGAUUAAUACUCUGCAGCUGUGACGUUACCUACAGAAGAAGGACCGGCUAACUCCGUGCCAGCAGCCGCGGUAAUACGGAGGGUCCGAGCGUUAAUCGGAAUUACUGGGCGUAAAGCGUACGUAGGUGGUUUGUUAAGUUGGAUGUGAAAGCCCAGGGCUCAAUCUUGGAACUGCAUUCAAAACUGAUGAACUAGAAUAUGGUAGAGG
This 606-nucleotide ribosomal RNA is filed under the name uncultured bacterium. RNAcentral describes it as "bacterial SSU rRNA". It matches the Rfam family "Bacterial small subunit ribosomal RNA", at positions 56 to 657 of the family's 1533-position model. The record is from RNAcentral.